CGCGCAGGCGGUCGAUCAAGUCGAGUGUGAAAGCCCCCGGCUCAACUGGGGAGGGUCAUUCGAAACUGGUCGACUCGAAGGCAGGAGAGGGUAGUGGAAUUCCCGGUGUAGUGGUGAAAUGCGUAGAUAUCGGGAGGAACACCAGUGGCGAAGGCGACUACCUGGCCUGUUCUUGACGCUGAGGCGCGAAAGCUAGGGGAGCAAACGG
Molecule: ribosomal RNA, 208 nt
Filed under: uncultured bacterium
Lineage: Bacteria
Description: partial 16S ribosomal RNA
Rfam family: Bacterial small subunit ribosomal RNA
Source: RNAcentral